This 254-nucleotide ribosomal RNA is filed under the name uncultured bacterium. RNAcentral's name for it is "partial 16S ribosomal RNA". It matches the Rfam family "Bacterial small subunit ribosomal RNA", at positions 524 to 776 of the family's 1533-position model. The record is from RNAcentral.
UACGUAGGGUGCAAGCGUUGUCCGGAAUUAUUGGGCGUAAAGAGCUCGUAGGCGGUUUGUCGCGUCUGCUGUGAAAACUCAGGGCUUAACCCUGAGCCUGCAGUGGGUACGGGCAGACUAGAGUGUGGUAGGGGAGAUCGGAAUUCCUGGUGUAGCGGUGGAAUGCGCAGGAUAUCAGGAGGAACACCGGUGGCGAAGGCGGAUCUCUGGGCCAUAACUGACGCUGAGGAGCGAAAGCAUGGGGAGCGAACAGG